RNAcentral lists this long non-coding RNA (1725 nucleotides) under Zea mays. RNAcentral describes it as "long non-coding RNA (ZMAY_LNC005237)". The record is from RNAcentral. Lineage: Eukaryota; Viridiplantae; Streptophyta; Magnoliopsida; Poales; Poaceae.
GGAAAUCUUGUUACCAAAUUUUACAAGUUACAAAAAUUUUACAUUAUUUUAUCGGAGUGAUUGCAAAAGUAUAAGUUUGAAAUAUAUGCUAGCUCAAGGGACCAUCCUCAUUAAGAAGUAUAGAAGGGUUACUUAAACUUAUAAGAAGGCCGAGCCCACCGGCACUUAACACCACCAUCAGCAGCACAAAACUAUGACCUGAAAAACAACAGGGAAUAAAACCCUGAGUACGCAAUUACUCAGCAAGACUUACCCGACUAAAGAAAAGACUCUCAAGGGUAUGCUGGCUAGAGGGAGUCAAGGUAAGGCUAAGCAAUAAUCAAGGACUCAUUUUGCAGAAGAGCUUACUAGUAGUGAAUCCUUAUGCCAAAAUUUUACUUCGCAAGUUAAGUACUUUUCCUGUAUCUAGAUUUGCCUAAUCUAUAGCAUUCACUUGUCCUGAUCUAGCUUUCUUUUAACCAACUACAAUCAUGUUUCACUUGUCAACUACGAUGAGUGGUCAGUGAGUCGAGUCUCCAUAACCGAGGAGCAACGACGAUUCGAACCGAUUAUACCCAGCUGGGGAUCCCUAACCACACGACAUAUGUAGCACUUAACCCUUGCAUAUGUCAACCGUUCCCAUAGAUCCUCCACAACGUGAACCGGUCCGCGCUACCCGGGAGCACAGUACUCCUCCAUCCAGCCUCUAGCCAGGAGGGUACACGCUACUCCCACCAUCUCCCACGCCCAGUGCGCGGUUGUCUUUUCACGUAUGGAAUAGCCAGGUUCAGGCUUACCGGAGCAUGUGGUUAGUUGCAAAGUCUCACCUCAUCAGGCCUACAUCGAACGGUCCUUAAUCGACACAGACGGGCGACCAUGUCCGCUCAACGUCUGGUCUAGAUGUAUUCUAACCAUUUUCCCAUUUUUGGUACCCAGCAGGGGUACUCUUUUCCAAAUGAUGAACCCACUCCGGCCGAAGUGGAAUCAUCACCAUAAGUUUGCUUUGAUUUUUGAAACGAAAGCCCGUAACCAAUGUUCCACAAUCAUUCUUUUUGAAAACAAAUGAUUUUUCAGUUUCUAAGCAGGGCUAAGCAUUAUGAGUUCUUUUUAUAAAACUAGGAUUAAGGAGUUUCCAAGGAAUGGUAAUGCAUCAAUUGUUUAUCACACAACUCCUAUCACCUAAUGCAUCAGAUAAGGUGAAAAAGCACUUAAAACACAAGGAAGGGGCAAAUGCACCGGGGCUUGCCUGGAAUAACACUACGUUAGUGUUUGUUAGACGAUGUCCGCUUGACGAGUAUCCCUCGACCGAGCACUUGCUUAAUUUAACCAUCUUCAGGUUGGUCCAUCAGCUUCAUCCUGCGGAUUUAGCCCGUGCUUGGGGUCGACUUGGCUCGUCUUCCGCAUCACAUGGUUAUUUAUCGUACCUCAUGAGAUGCACGAUGCACAUGUAUGAGCACAAGUAGAACGAGUAUAAGAUAGAUACUCUAUACUAAAAAGGAUGAAACACUUAAAAUCAAGCAUUAAGCACCAUGGAUAUCAUAGCAGAGCAUCGACUACAUUCAUUAGCCAAAUUGACCUAAUAACACUAGAAAAUCUAUUUUUAUUCCUAGCUUUUUAUUAACUCUCUAAACUGUGUAACUUAAUUACUUGAUUUAGCGAGCUAUCUAAAUCGAUCAUCACAAUAUACGCAUGCUAAAUUCAUAAUAUUUACUGUGACCAACAAUUCUAUUUAAUCUAUUUAUAGAC